AUACGGAGGGUGCGAGCGUUAAUCGGAAUUACUGGGCGUAAAGCGUACGUAGGCGGUUGGUUAAGUUAGAUGUGAAAGCCCCGGGCUUAACCUGGGAACUGCAUUUAAAACUGACGAACUAGAGUUGAGUAGAGGGGAGUGGAAUUUCAGGUGUAGCGGUGAAAUGCGUAGAGAUCUGAAGGAACACCAGUGGCGAAGGCGACUCCCUGGACUUGAACUGACGCUGAGGUACGAAAGCGUGGGUAGCAAACGGGAUUAGAAACCCUAGUAGUCC
Molecule: ribosomal RNA, 274 nt
Filed under: uncultured bacterium
Lineage: Bacteria
Description: partial 16S ribosomal RNA
Rfam family: Bacterial small subunit ribosomal RNA
Source: RNAcentral